AUAUUUUUACAUGUAAGGGGCAACCAAACAAAGGGAUGCCCACAAACGACAGGACUACAGAAGUUUUGUUUGGUGAGCCGCUGUCACAGCUGGGUAGACCAGAGGCUAGGCCUUCAUCAAAUUCCGAUGGAAGGCAAACGAGCCUCUGAGAGGCCUACUGCCAACAUAUGACGACGGGCGUAGUAGACCAGGGCAAUGCAGCAUGGCCUACUACAAGAAGGUACAUGUCAUUCAGUAAUGAUCCUUCCGCAGGUUCACCUACGGAAA
This 267-nucleotide unclassified non-coding RNA is filed under the name uncultured fungus. Its description in RNAcentral is "sequence contains ITS1". The record is from RNAcentral. Lineage: Eukaryota; Fungi.